UCAGAUUGAACGCUGGCGGAAUGCUUUACACAUGCAAGUCGAACGGCAGCACGGGGGCAACCCUGGUGGCGAGUGGCGAACGGGUGAGUAAUACAUCGGAACGUGCCCGAUCGUGGGGGAUAACGUAGCGAAAGCUACGCUAAUACCGCAUACGAUCUACGGAUGAAAGCGGGGGAUCGCAAGACCUCGCGCGAACGGAGCGGCCGAUGGCAGAUUAGGUAGUUGGUGGGGUAAAGGCUCACCAAGCCUGCGAUCUGUAGCUGGUCUGAGAGGACGACCAGCCACACUGGGACUGAGACACGGCCCAGACUCCUACGGGAGGCAGCAGUGGGGAAUUUUGGACAAUGGGCGAAAGCCUGAUCCAGCCAUUCCGCGUGCAGGAUGAAGGCCUUCGGGUUGUAAACUGCUUUUGUACGGAACGAAACGGCCUUUUCUAAUACAGAGGGCUAAUGACGGUACCGUAAGAA
RNAcentral lists this ribosomal RNA (467 nucleotides) under Variovorax sp. RNAcentral's name for it is "bacterial SSU rRNA". It matches the Rfam family "Bacterial small subunit ribosomal RNA", at positions 24 to 486 of the family's 1533-position model. Lineage: Bacteria; Pseudomonadati; Pseudomonadota; Betaproteobacteria; Burkholderiales; Comamonadaceae. The record is from RNAcentral.